GACGAACGCUGGCGGCGUGCCUAACACAUGCAAGUCGAACGGAAAGGCACUGCGUUUGUGGGGUGCUCGAUUGGCGAACGGGGGAUGAACACGUGAGUAACCUGCCCUUGACUUUGGGAUAACUUCACGAAACUGGGGCUAAUACAGGAUAGGAUCUCCUGCUGCGUGGUGGGGGUUGGAAAGUUUCGGCGGUUGGGGAUGGACUCGCGGCUUAUCAGCUUGUUGGUGGGGUAGUGGCUGACCAAGGCUUUGACGGGUAGCCGGCCUGAGAGGGUGACCGGCCACAUUGGGACUGCGAGAGGGCGCAGACUGCAAUGGGAGGCAACGGUGGGGAACAUUACACAGUGGGCGCGAGUCUGAUGCGGCGGCGCUGCGAGCGUGAUGACGGCCUUUUGGGUGAGAACAGCUGUCGCCUGAGACGAAGCGUGAGUGACGGUAACGGGUAAAGAAGCACCGGCUAACUACGUG
Molecule: ribosomal RNA, 468 nt
Filed under: uncultured bacterium
Lineage: Bacteria
Description: partial 16S ribosomal RNA
Rfam family: Bacterial small subunit ribosomal RNA
Source: RNAcentral